RNAcentral lists this ribosomal RNA (306 nucleotides) under uncultured bacterium. RNAcentral describes it as "bacterial SSU rRNA". It matches the Rfam family "Bacterial small subunit ribosomal RNA", at positions 28 to 314 of the family's 1533-position model. The record is from RNAcentral.
GAUGAACGCUGGCGGCAUGCCUAAUACAUGCAAGUCGAACGAGAGGAAGGAAAGCUUGCUUUCCUCGAAUACUAGUGGCGAACGGGUAGGAGUAACACGUAGGUAACCGUACGCCCACUAGUGCCCGGGACGUAACUUCUGGAAACGGAUGCUAAACCGGAUAGUAGCAGACAAGCAUUUGACUGCUAUUAAAGUGGCCUUGGCCAUGAACAUGGAUGGACCUGCGGUGCAUUAGCGUGGUUGGUGAGGUAACGGCCCACCAAGGCGACGAUGCAUAGCCGGCCUGAGAGGGCGGACGGCCACAUU